GCGGCAUUGGUUCAAUGGCAGAAUAAAAGCUUCCCAAGCUUUGGACGCGGGUUCGAUUCCCGUAUGCCGCU
This 71-nucleotide transfer RNA is filed under the name Lachnospiraceae bacterium. RNAcentral describes it as "tRNA-Gly". It matches the Rfam family "tRNA". Rfam says of the family: Transfer RNA (tRNA) molecules are approximately 80 nucleotides in length. Their secondary structure includes four short double-helical elements and three loops (D, anti-codon, and T loops). Lineage: Bacteria; Bacillati; Bacillota; Clostridia; Lachnospirales; Lachnospiraceae. The record is from RNAcentral.